GACGAACGCUGGCGGCGUGCUUAACACAUGCAAGUCGAACGGAAAGGCCCUGCUUUUGUGGGGCGCUCGAGUGGCGAACGGGUGAGUAACACGUGAGUAACCUGCCCUUGACUUUGGGAUAACUUCAGGAAACUGGGGCUAAUACCGGAUAGGAGCUCCUGCUGCAUGGUGGGGGUUGGAAAGUUUCGGCGGUUGGGGAUGGACUCGCGGCUUAUCAGCUUGUUGGUGGGGUAGUGGCUUACCAAGGCUUUGACGGGUAGCCGGCCUGAGAGGGUGACCGGCCACAUUGGGACUGAGAUACGGCCCAGACUCCUACGGGAGGCAGCAGUGGGGAAUAUUGCACCAUGGGCGGAAGCCUGAUGCAGCAACGCCGCGUGCGGGAUGACGGCCUUCGGGUUGUAAACCGCUUUCGCCUGUGACGAAGCGUGAGUGACGGUAAUGGGUAAAGAAGCACCGGCUAACUACGUG
RNAcentral lists this ribosomal RNA (468 nucleotides) under uncultured bacterium. Its description in RNAcentral is "partial 16S ribosomal RNA". It matches the Rfam family "Bacterial small subunit ribosomal RNA", at positions 28 to 507 of the family's 1533-position model. The record is from RNAcentral.